Molecule: ribosomal RNA, 447 nt
Filed under: uncultured bacterium
Lineage: Bacteria
Description: SSU rRNA
Rfam family: Bacterial small subunit ribosomal RNA
Source: RNAcentral
AGGACGAACGCUGGCGGCGUGCCUAACACAUGCAAGUCGAGCGGGCGUAGCAAUACGUCAGCGGCAGACGGGAGAGUAACACGUGGGAACGCGCCCUUCGGUUCGGAAUAACUCAGGGAAACUUGAGCUAAUACCGGAUACGCCCUUACGGGGAAAGAUUUAUCGCCGAAGGAACGGCCCGCGUCGGAUUAGCUAGUUGGUGAGGUAAUGGCUCACCAAGGCGACGAUCCGUAGCUGGUCUAAGAGGAUGAUCAGCCUCACUGGGACUGAGACACGGCCCAGACUCCUACGGGAGGCAGCAGUGGGGAAUAUUGGACAAUGGGCGCAAGCCUGAUCCAGCCAUGCCGCGUGGAUGAUGAAGGCCUUAGGGUUGUAAAGUCCUUUCAGCGGGGAAGAUAAUGACGGUACCCGCAGAAGAAGCCCGGCUAACUUCGCGCCAGCAGCCGC